GGUUAAGCGACUAAGCGUACACGGUGGAUGCCCUGGCAGUCAGAGGCGAUGAAGGACGUGCUAAUCUGCGAUAAGCGUCGGUGAGGUGAUAUGAACCGUUAUAACCGGCGAUUUCCGAAUGGGGAAACCCAGUGUGAUUCGUCACACUAUCAUUAACUGAAUCCAUAGGUUAAUGAGGCGAACCGGGGGAACUGAAACAUCUAAGUACCCCGAGGAAAAGAAAUCAACCGAGAUUCCCCCAGUAGCGGCGAGCGAACGGGGAGCAGCCCAGAGCCUGAAUCAGUGUGUGUGUUAGUGGAAGCGUCUGGAAAGGCGCGCGAUACAGGGUGACAGCCCCGUACACAAAAAUGCACAUGCUGUGAGCUCGAUGAGUAGGGCGGGACACGUGGUAUCCUGUCUGAAUAUGGGGGGACCAUCCUCCAAGGCUAAAUACUCCUGACUGACCGAUAGUGAACCAGUACCGUGAGGGAAAGGCGAAAAGAACCCCGGCGAGGGGAGUGAAAAAGAACCUGAAACCGUGUACGUACAAGCAGUGGGAGCACAGAGCAAUCUGUGUGACUGCGUACCUUUUGUAUAAUGGGUCAGCGACUUAUAUUCUGUAGCAAGGUUAACCGAAUAGGGGAGCCGAAGGGAAACCGAGUCUUAACUGGGCGUUAAGUUGCAGGGUAUAGACCCGAAACCCGGUGAUCUAGCCAUGGGCAGGUUGAAGGUUGGGUAACACUAACUGGAGGACCGAACCGACUAAUGUUGAAAAAUUAGCGGAUGACUUGUGGCUGGGGGUGAAAGGCCAAUCAAACCGGGAGAUAGCUGGUUCUCCCCGAAAGCUAUUUAGGUAGCGCCUCGUGAAUUCAUCUCCGGGGGUAGAGCACUGUUUCGGCAAGGGGGUCAUCCCGACUUACCAACCCGAUGCAAACUGCGAAUACCGGAGAAUGUUAUCACGGGAGACACACGGCGGGUGCUAACGUCCGUCGUGAAGAGGGAAACAACCCAGACCGCCAGCUAAGGUCCCAAAGUCAUGGUUAAGUGGGAAACGAUGUGGGAAGGCCCAGACAGCCAGGAUGUUGGCUUAGAAGCAGCCAUCAUUUAAAGAAAGCGUAAUAGCUCACUGGUCGAGUCGGCCUGCGCGGAAGAUGUAACGGGGCUAAACCAUGCACCGAAGCUGCGGCAGCGACGCUUAUGCGUUGUUGGGUAGGGGAGCGUUCUGUAAGCCUGUGAAGGUGUGCUGUGAGGCAUGCUGGAGGUAUCAGAAGUGCGAAUGCUGACAUAAGUAACGAUAAAGCGGGUGAAAAGCCCGCUCGCCGGAAGACCAAGGGUUCCUGUCCAACGUUAAUCGGGGCAGGGUGAGUCGACCCCUAAGGCGAGGCCGAAAGGCGUAGUCGAUGGGAAACAGGUUAAUAUUCCUGUACUUGGUGUUACUGCGAAGGGGGGACGGAGAAGGCUAUGUUGGCCGGGCGACGGUUGUCCCGGUUUAAGCGUGUAGGCUGGUUUUCCAGGCAAAUCCGGAAAAUCAAGGCUGAGGCGUGAUGACGAGGCACUACGGUGCUGAAGCAACAAAUGCCCUGCUUCCAGGAAAAGCCUCUAAGCAUCAGGUAACAUCAAAUCGUACCCCAAACCGACACAGGUGGUCAGGUAGAGAAUACCAAGGCGCUUGAGAGAACUCGGGUGAAGGAACUAGGCAAAAUGGUGCCGUAACUUCGGGAGAAGGCACGCUGAUAUGUAGGUGAAGUCCCUCGCGGAUGGAGCUGAAAUCAGUCGAAGAUACCAGCUGGCUGCAACUGUUUAUUAAAAACACAGCACUGUGCAAACACGAAAGUGGACGUAUACGGUGUGACGCCUGCCCGGUGCCGGAAGGUUAAUUGAUGGGGUUAGCGGUAACGCGAAGCUCUUGAUCGAAGCCCCGGUAAACGGCGGCCGUAACUAUAACGGUCCUAAGGUAGCGAAAUUCCUUGUCGGGUAAGUUCCGACCUGCACGAAUGGCGUAAUGAUGGCCAGGCUGUCUCCACCCGAGACUCAGUGAAAUUGAACUCGCUGUGAAGAUGCAGUGUACCCGCGGCAAGACGGAAAGACCCCGUGAACCUUUACUAUAGCUUGACACUGAACAUUGAGCCUUGAUGUGUAGGAUAGGUGGGAGGCUUUGAAGUGUGGACGCCAGUCUGCAUGGAGCCGGCCUUGAAAUACCACCCUUUAAUGUUUGAUGUUCUAACGUUGGCCCCUGAUCGGGGUUGCGGACAGUGUCUGGUGGGUAGUUUGACUGGGGCGGUCUCCUCCUAAAGAGUAACGGAGGAGCACGAAGGUUGGCUAAUCCUGGUCGGACAUCAGGAGGUUAGUGCAAUGGCAUAAGCCAGCUUGACUGCGAGCGUGACGGCGCGAGCAGGUGCGAAAGCAGGUCAUAGUGAUCCGGUGGUUCUGAAUGGAAGGGCCAUCGCUCAACGGAUAAAAGGUACUCCGGGGAUAACAGGCUGAUACCGCCCAAGAGUUCAUAUCGACGGCGGUGUUUGGCACCUCGAUGUCGGCUCAUCACAUCCUGGGGCUGAAGUAGGUCCCAAGGGUAUGGCUGUUCGCCAUUUAAAGUGGUACGCGAGCUGGGUUUAGAACGUCGUGAGACAGUUCGGUCCCUAUCUGCCGUGGGCGCUGGAGAACUGAGGGGGGCUGCUCCUAGUACGAGAGGACCGGAGUGGACGCAUCACUGGUGUUCGGGUUGUCAUGCCAAUGGCACUGCCCGGUAGCUAAAUGCGGAAGAGAUAAGUGCUGAAAGCAUCUAAGCACGAAACUUGCCCCGAGAUGAGUUCUCCCUGACUCCUUGAGAGUCCUGAAGGAACGUUGAAGACGACGACGUUGAUAGGCCGGGUGUGUAAGCGCAGCGAUGCGUUGAGCUAACCGGUACUAAUGAACCGUGAGGCUUAACCUU
RNAcentral lists this ribosomal RNA (2908 nucleotides) under Escherichia coli. Its description in RNAcentral is "23S ribosomal RNA". It matches the Rfam family "Bacterial large subunit ribosomal RNA". RNAcentral also lists the same sequence under 1 other name. The record is from RNAcentral. Lineage: Bacteria; Pseudomonadati; Pseudomonadota; Gammaproteobacteria; Enterobacterales; Enterobacteriaceae.